This 459-nucleotide ribosomal RNA is filed under the name uncultured bacterium. RNAcentral's name for it is "partial 16S ribosomal RNA". It matches the Rfam family "Bacterial small subunit ribosomal RNA", at positions 338 to 795 of the family's 1533-position model. The record is from RNAcentral.
CCUACGGGUGGCAGCAGUGAGGAAUAUUGGUCAAUGGGCGCGAGCCUGACCCAGCCAAGUCGCGUGAGGGAAGACGGUCCUAUGGAUUGUAAACCUCUUUUGUCGGGGAGCAAAAGACGCCACCCGUGGCUUUCCUACAGUCCCCGUACAAAAAGCAUCGGCAAACUCCGUGCCAGCAGCCGCGGUAAUACGGAGGAUGCGAGCGUUAUCCGGAUUUAUUGGGUUGAAAGGGUGCGCAGGCGGAAGAUCAAGUCAGCGGUAAAAUUGAGCGGCUCAACCUCUUCGAGCCGUGGAAACUGGUUUGCUUGAGUGAGGGAGAAGUAUGCGGAAUUCGUGGUGUAGCGGUGAAAUGCAUAGAUAUCACGCAGAACUCCGAUUGCGAAGGCAGCAUACCGGCGCUCAACUGACGCUCAUGCACGAAAGUGUGGGUAUCGAACAGGAUUAGAUACCCUUGUAGUC